GUUUUCAGCUAGAACAGCCCGGGAGCGCGGGUCUCCUACCCUCUGAGGCUAACUGGACCACCGAAUCAGGUAGUAAUGAAUUUUCAUCCCAACCUUUGUUCUUCAUGGUGGUGUCUAACGCUCUUAAGAUUGAUGGCUGUUUUCCAAAUGUUGACAUUAUCAGAAGCCUGACCUCCACGUGGAAAAGAAGGGCCUGUUUUAAGAGGCCUCACCAAACAGCUGGCUGCAAAGGGCUGCUCUUUGAGACCAGGUUGUCUGCAGAGUCCCGAGCUGUCGGGGUUGGCCGGCUGCCUUUCUUCUCUGGCGGUGUGUGUGUGUUCUCCGUGUUUCCAGGGUGAAGCGCCCACGAGCAGGU
Molecule: long non-coding RNA, 355 nt
Filed under: Sus scrofa (pig)
Lineage: Eukaryota; Metazoa; Chordata; Mammalia; Artiodactyla; Suidae
Description: lncRNA (ENSSSCG00015074883.1)
Source: RNAcentral